This is a long non-coding RNA of Vespa mandarinia (Asian giant hornet), 3735 nucleotides long. The record is from RefSeq and is a predicted model, not a curated record. Lineage: Eukaryota; Metazoa; Arthropoda; Insecta; Hymenoptera; Vespidae.
UUAUUAUUAUUAUUAUUAUUAUUGCCAUUUUCAUCAUUAUGGUAUUAUUAUCAUUGUUAUAGUCAAUAUUAGUGACGCUGCGGUUCUCGUUAUUUUCGAUCACACAUUUUUAUUGCAAAAAGAAUAUAAUAAAAAAGAGAAAAGAAGGUAAUGCGUCAACGUACAUAAUGUAUAUGCACACGUAUAUGUAUAUAAGACAGAAGCAUCUUUGUUGUUUAAAGAUUAUCUAAUCAAAAAGUUUUUAAGAGAGGAUCAAAAAAGAGAAAAUAAAUGAAAAAUUGGCUGAGCGAAAUCGCCAAGACGAACUGGAAUUCUUGAUUUCUGAUUGUAAUUUAAAAGAAAAAAUAAGAAAAGUGGAAUGAAGUAAAAAAAGAAAAAAAAAAAUAUAAUGAGUGAACUGAAAAAAGAUUAGAGAAACUCUCGCAUUUCGUUUAUAAUUUUGCAGCUUGUAACUCCGCUUGUAAAUUUUUGACUCUUUGCACUUUAACCCAAAAUUACGGAUUUUAUAUUUAUGUUAUAAAAUAUAUGAGGAAGAACAAAAAACGAAUUAAGGAAGACAAAAAAGAAAAUGAUAGAAGACAUGAAAUAUAUCUAAUUUUGAUUAUCGAUGAUUGAUGAGACUGUGUUAAACAUUCUCUGAAUGUAUUUAAUCACUACAAUCAAACGAAAAGAUUGUGAGAAUAAAAGAAGAUCGUGACGGUGACGAUGAGCUUGAAAGAAAAAGAAAGAAAAAGAAAAGAGGUAUAAGGAGAAAAGAAUUUUUCUCAUCCUAUAUAAAAUAGUUUUGACGAUCGCGUCCAAUGGCAUGAGAAGAUCGAAGCGUCGAUUAUUCUCUUUUUACACCUAUUGGUAAACUCAACAGUUCGAUAUAUUACAUUCGUCAACUUCGAGUUGCAUCGGAGGUACCGAUAUAAUAUAAACUUCCAAGGGCAUCACGAAGACGCACGUUAUAAAAAAACGAUGAUGAGCAAACGAGGAAUAAUAAUUAAGCAAGAAUAAACGGAACGAAGAAAAUAAAAAGUGUACAACAAGAACAAGAACCUCUCUCGUUCCAUUGGUUGAGCAGUGUGACUACCGUGUAGUCAAACAAAAUAUCCACUGCAGAUUGAGAGAAUAAAAUAUAUGUAGCAUACGAAUGCGUGGGUCGUAACGUGAAUGUUUCAAAUGAUAUGCCGCAAGCGAUGUGAUUAUCUUGUCUGUGUGUGUGCGUGUGUGUGUGUAUGCAUGUAUAUAUGUAUGCAUGUAUGUAUGUAUGCAUGUAUAUGUUCUUAUUGCAUGUGUGAUGUAUGAUGGUAUAUGUAAGCUUAUAUGAGAGUAUGUGUUAAAAAAUAGAAAAAAUGCGAAAAAGAGAAGAUGAUCGAUGAACAAGAUAUUAUAAUUUUAGACGCAAAAUUGCGGGGAACAAAAUUCGGAGAAAAAAACUUCACGCCUGCUGUGCGUUUGGCCUGUUGUACUAUUAUCAUUUUCUCCUGCUUUUUGCAUACCCGCUCGCGGAUAAUCGACGAAGAGAGAUGAGGAAGAAUGAACUGACUUCGAUAGUAUACGGCUGGUGAUUAGCGAACGAUUUGUGUACAUAUUAAUGGAAAAAAUGAAAAAAAAUAAACAAAGAAAUAAUGGAAAGAAUAUAUAUACUGUAAAACACACCGCAAUAGAUAUUCGCAGUUAAAACACGCUACGAUAAUUACGCAAUUGUAAACGAUGCAUACUUAUAAAUACUACUUUUUAGAUAACAAAACUCUAAUGCAAAUCAUAUACAUAUAUAAAUAUUAUACGUAUACAUAUAGACAUAUAGAUAUAUAUGUAUAUGUAUAUAUAUAUAUUAUUAUUAUUAUUAUUAUAUUAUUAAUAUUAUUAUUUGGACGCGGUACAACAAGUAGUAUGUGCAUUUUCCAGCACAGAUAGUUGGUAUUUUGUGUACAAAAGUGAAAUUGAAAAUAAUUGUUGAACUCAUGUCGAGAACGCUCGCAUUGAGCCUUCACAGAAAUAUUCGUCUAGGAAAAAUAAUAAAUCGAAAGGAAAGAGAGAAACAGUGACAGAAUUUUUAAGUGAUAAAAAAGAAAAAAAGGAAAGACGAAAGUAAAAGAGAAAAAGAACUAAAUUCUCUCGAUGUUGAUAUGCAACGAUCCAGAAGUUACGAAUUCAUUCGAGCAUACAAUCGACGCAAAACAAAUUAAUAGUGUUUAAUUCGAGAAACAUUAUCGAUAUUAAUUUUAUACGCAAGUAAAUAAGAUGCGUACGUUCAGUUCUGAUAAUCAGCUUUGUCCUUCCUUUUUUUUCAAUUGACGUAAAUGCAUACAUAUGUACUUUGAUAAAAAGCGUUCUCGAGCACUCAUCGCUUCUCUCUUUCUUCAGAUUUCGUAUUAUAGAAAAUGCUGAAAUUGAAAAUUCAUAUUCUUCUGCAAAUUGAUAUUGCAACUCGAUAAAUGCGAUGCUCUUUUAUUUACCAUUUCUGUCAAACUGUUCUCAUAGUAAUUUGAAUUAUUCGUCAAUUUUCAAACCCUUUUUAUUGUAGUUUAGAUGGAUUUAAAUUUCGCAGGCUUUUACACACGAUACCUCAUCGUUUAGUAGUUGCGUUUUCAAAUCGGCCAUGAAUUGCUUGUAAAUAAUGCUAAGAAAAAAGAGAAGAAGACAAAAACAAAGAAAACUGUAAGAAUUUCAGAACGCUAUUUCGUCUAUUAAUAAUUCCGUUAUUGUUUGCAGAACGAAUAAGGUAUGUACUCGUGGUUAUUAAUAAUGAAUUUCGAUUGCGGAUUACAAAAAGAGAUAAAACUCGCCAUCGUCGUCCAUCAUGCGGACGGACGGUCGAUCGUGUUUGUUGUAUUAUAUCUUACUAUUAAUGGUUAAUAUCGAUAACACAAAUAACAAACAAUAAGGAUAAAUAAUAAUUUAAGGUGACGGAAAAAAGGUGUGUGUUAAGAGAUCGACAGCUGCUGACAUUUGGAGUCUGGAUAUUUUCCUAAAUAUGUUUACGGAAGGAAGAGAAGGAGGAGAGCACUCAAGGCAUGUCGAGUUUUUUUUUUGCGAAAUGCAUAGAAACAUAAAAAAAGAAGAAGAAAACAAAUAAACAACCGAAGAAUGUUCGUGCUUGCUGUGCGAUUCGAAGAUACACCCUGAGAUUUUUACCAAAAAAACUCCGCCGUACGUCGCGGAUGUAGGCAAUUUAAACGAACUCUCCGUUUUUUUUAUUAUUAUGUUUUAUUCUUACUUUUAUCUUUUUUACAACCGUAAACUCGCCAUAUUAAAGGGUGAGAGAAUAGUCAGAGGGGAUGCAUCUAUGUGAGGAAACGAUUUUAUAUUGUGAAUAAUUUCUUUGGGUGGAAGAGGAAGAAAAAACAUGAAUUUGCGACAUUCGGGGGAAAAGUGAAAGGGAAGAGAAAUGGCGAUACGGCUACCUCGUUCAACUAAAAGAAGAAAAAAAGAUCGAAAUACACGGGGAACGAUUUACAGUAUAUAAAUAGAACAAAUUUAUGAAACGGUAAACAAACGAACAGCAUUAACAAGAAUUAAUAAAUAUAUCUUGCGUUCUCCUUACAUUGAUUUUGAAAGAAGAAAAUAAAAGGAAAAAGACGCUGAGUUUUUUCAAUUAAAAUUCAGUAUGUUUUUCGUUAUAUAGAUUCCAGUAUGUAUUUCGUACACUACGAUAUAUCACAAUUUAUUGUAUUAUCGGCGAGAUAUUGUAACAAACAAAAAUACUGUUAACUAUUCUUAAAAAAAAUUAAAACUUUUGUAAACUGA